AUUGCAGAAUUCAGUGAAUCAUCGAUAUCUUUGAACGCACCUUGCGCUCCCCGGUAUUCCAGGGAGCACACCUGUUCGAGUGUCGUG
This 87-nucleotide ribosomal RNA is filed under the name uncultured fungus. Its description in RNAcentral is "partial 5.8S ribosomal RNA". It matches the Rfam family "5.8S ribosomal RNA", at positions 71 to 154 of the family's 154-position model. From Rfam's summary of the family: 5.8S ribosomal RNA (5.8S rRNA) is a component of the large subunit of the eukaryotic ribosome. It is transcribed by RNA polymerase I as part of the 45S precursor that also contains 18S and 28S rRNA. Lineage: Eukaryota; Fungi. The record is from RNAcentral.